GGCCAGUUAGUUCAGUCAGUUGAGCGUGGCACUAACAAUGCCAAGGUUGCGGGUUCGAUUCCCAUUUGGUCC
This 72-nucleotide transfer RNA is filed under the name Apaloderma vittatum (bar-tailed trogon). It matches the Rfam family "tRNA". Rfam says of the family: Transfer RNA (tRNA) molecules are approximately 80 nucleotides in length. Their secondary structure includes four short double-helical elements and three loops (D, anti-codon, and T loops). Further hydrogen bonds mediate the characteristic L-shaped molecular structure. tRNAs have two regions of fundamental functional importance: the anti-codon, which is responsible for specific mRNA codon recognition, and the 3' end, to which the tRNAs corresponding amino acid is attached (by aminoacyl-tRNA synthetases). tRNAs cope with the degeneracy of the genetic code in two manners: having more than one tRNA (with a specific anti-codon) for a particular amino acid; and 'wobble' base-pairing, i.e. permitting non-standard base-pairing at the 3rd anti-codon position. Lineage: Eukaryota; Metazoa; Chordata; Aves; Trogoniformes; Trogonidae. The record is from Rfam by way of RNAcentral.